UACGUAGGUGGCAAGCGUUAUCCGGAUUUAUUGGGCGUAAAGGGAACGCAGGCGGUCUUUUAAGUCUGAUGUGAAAGCCUUCGGCUUAACCGGAGUAGUGCAUUGGAAACUGGGAGACUUGAGUGCAGAAGAGGAGAGUGGAACUCCAUGUGUAGCGGUGAAAUGCGUAGAUAUAUGGAAGAACACCAGUGGCGAAAGCAGCUCUCUGGUCUGUAACUGACGCUGAGGUUCGAAAGCGUGGGUAGCAAACAGG
Molecule: ribosomal RNA, 253 nt
Filed under: uncultured bacterium
Lineage: Bacteria
Description: partial 16S ribosomal RNA
Rfam family: Bacterial small subunit ribosomal RNA
Source: RNAcentral